RNAcentral lists this non-coding RNA (45 nucleotides) under Trichobilharzia regenti. The record is from RNAcentral. Lineage: Eukaryota; Metazoa; Platyhelminthes; Trematoda; Strigeidida; Schistosomatidae.
AUCCAGAUGUCGAAUCCCAAAUAGGACGAAAUGCUCAUCAUGGAU